AGCAAUCGAAGCAGUGAACUUAAGCCCCAGUAAACGGCGGCCGUAACUAUAACGCUCCUAAGGUAGCGAAAUUCCUUGUCGGGUAAGUUCCGACCCGCACGACAGGCGUAACGAUUUGGGCACUGUCUCAACAACAGACUCGGUGACAUUGUAAUUCCGGUGACGAUGCCCGCUACCUGCGCCACGCCGGAAAGACCCCAUCGAGCUUUACUGUAGCUUGACAUUGGGUC
This 230-nucleotide ribosomal RNA is filed under the name Clostridioides sp. ZZV14-6104. RNAcentral's name for it is "partial 23S ribosomal RNA". It matches the Rfam family "Bacterial large subunit ribosomal RNA", at positions 1894 to 2123 of the family's 2925-position model. The record is from RNAcentral. Lineage: Bacteria; Bacillati; Bacillota; Clostridia; Peptostreptococcales; Peptostreptococcaceae.